RNAcentral lists this ribosomal RNA (256 nucleotides) under uncultured bacterium. RNAcentral describes it as "partial 16S ribosomal RNA". It matches the Rfam family "Bacterial small subunit ribosomal RNA", at positions 524 to 777 of the family's 1533-position model. The record is from RNAcentral.
UACGUAGGGUGCGAGCGUUGUCCGGAAUUAUUGGGCGUAAAGGGCUCGUAGGCGGUUUGUCGCGUCGGGAGUGAAAACUCAGGGCUUAACCCUGAGCCUGCUUCCGAUACGGGCAGACUAGAGGUAUGCAGGGGAGAACGGAAUUCCUGGUGUAGCGGUGGAAUGCGCAGGAUAUCAGGAGAACACCGGUGGCGAAGGCGGUUCUCUGGGCAGUUGACCUGACGCUGAGGAGCGAAAGCAUGGGGAGCGAACAGGA